UAAUUAAAUUUGUUACAAAUAUAAUUAAAUUAUAAUGAUAAUAAAGCAUUUAUUGGCUGAGUAAUGGAGAUUGAAAUUUAAUAAAUGGAAAGAAGUACUGUAAGGGAAACAACGUAUUUAUAUUAACAUUAGCUAUAAGUUUAUGUGUACCUUUUGUAUUAUGGUUUAGCUAAAAUAAAUAUAUAUAGUUAUAUUUUUAGAAAUUUAAUGAGCUACCUUAAAUAGAAUUUUUAGAUUUAUAGAAAUAAAUGUUGCAAAAUUUUACUUAAAAAUUAAGGUUGUAGUGAAAUACUAUUCGCAUUAAAUGAUAGCUAAUUCUUUCUGAAAUAUAUAUAAGUAUAGUUUUAAAUAUUAAUAAAUAUAUAUAUAUAUAUAUAUGUAUAUGUGUGUUUUGUAAUAUAUAUAUUAUAAUUAAUUUAGAACUUAAAUGAUUAAGGAUCAGCUCAAUCAUUAAUUGGAUGAUAUACAUAUAAUAAAUAUGAUUAUGCUUAGGCUUGAAAUCAGAAGUAGUUUAUGAAAUCGUUAUAGAUCAUUUUUUUAUUAAUUUUCUAGAUUUAUAUGUUUAGUUGUUUCUAUUUAUUAUGAGAGUGUAAUAUUUAACUAAUAUUAAAAAUUGUAAUUAUGCUAGAAUGAGUAUUUUGUUGAUGUUUAAUUAAUUUAUAUGAAUGAAUUUAUGUAAAUAUAUAUGAAUUGUUACGAUAAUGAAUUGUGUUAUAAAAUUAGUGAAAGGAAUUCGACAAAUGUUAAUUCUGCCUGUUUAGCAAAAACAUGUCUCUUUGUUUACACUUAUAUAAAGAGUCUAACCUGCCCAGUGAUAUAUUAUUUAACGGCCGCGGUACUUUGACCGUGCAAAGGUAGCAUAAUCAUUUGCCUUAUAAUUGAAGGCUUGUAUGAAUGGUUUAACAAGAAUUAAUUUGUCUCUUGCUAAUUAAAAUGAAAUUGACUUUUAGGUGUAAAGGCCUAAAUGUUACUAAUAGACAAGAAGACCCUAUUGAGCUUGAAAAAUUUAUGAUAAUAUAAGUAUAUUGAGACUGAAAUUAUAAGUUAUUAAGAUUUUUAGUUGGGGUGACUAUUGGAACAAAUAAAGCUUCCAGAGAUUCCAUAAUAUCUGAUGUUAAUUUAUUUAAAUUGGAUCCAAAAUAUUUUGAUUAAUAGAAUAAGUUACCAUAGGGAUAACAGCAUAAUCUAUCUUAAGAGCUCUAAUCGAAAGAAAGGUUUGUGACCUCGAUGUUGGAUUAAAAUAUCCUAAGGGUGUAAAAGUUCUUAAGGGUUGGUCUGUUCGACCAUUAAAAUUUU
Molecule: ribosomal RNA, 1296 nt
Filed under: Pila conica
Lineage: Eukaryota; Metazoa; Mollusca; Gastropoda; Architaenioglossa; Ampullariidae
Description: partial large subunit ribosomal RNA
Rfam family: Bacterial large subunit ribosomal RNA (bases 1172-1296)
Source: RNAcentral